This 315-nucleotide ribosomal RNA is filed under the name Triticum aestivum (bread wheat). RNAcentral's name for it is "partial small subunit ribosomal RNA". Lineage: Eukaryota; Viridiplantae; Streptophyta; Magnoliopsida; Poales; Poaceae. The record is from RNAcentral.
AAAAUUGCAUGCAAGGUCCUUGCCAAUCGCUUGGGGCCUGAGCUCCACAAUUUGAUCUCCCAUAGUCAGAUUGCUUUCAUCAGAGGCCAGUCCAUACAAGAUAAUUUUCUCUAUGUCCAGAAUGUGAUCAAGGAAGCCCACAAGAAAAAGAACCCCCUCUUGUUCCUAAAACUGGAUAUAGCCAAGGCAUUUGAUUCUUUGAGCUGGUCAUACUUGAUUGAGGUCCUCACGGCAUUUGGGUUUGGACAGUGGGUGGAGGGACAUUGUAUGCACUACAAAAAAAUACACUUCCGUGAUGAUACGUGUUUGUCAUAG